AUUGAACGCUGGCGGCAUGCCUUACACAUGCAAGUCGAACGGUAACAGGUCUUCGGAUGCUGACGAGUGGCGAACGGGUGAGUAAUACAUCGGAACGUGCCCAGACGUGGGGGAUAACGAGGCGAAAGCUUUGCUAAUACCGCAUACGAUCUAAGGAUGAAAGCAGGGGACCGCAAGGCCUUGUGCGUUUGGAGCGGCCGAUGGCAGAUUAGGUAGUUGGUGGGAUAAAAGCUUACCAAGCCGACGAUCUGUAGCUGGUCUGAGAGGACGACCAGCCACACUGGGACUGAGACACGGCCCAGACUCCUACGGGAGGCAGCAGUGGGGAAUUUUGGACAAUGGGCGAAAGCCUGAUCCAGCAAUGCCGCGUGCAGGAUGAAGGCCUUCGGGUUGGAAACUGCUUUUGUACGGAACGAAAAGGCUCUGGCUAAUACCUGGGGCACAUGACGGUACCGUAAGAAUAAGCACCGGCUAACUACG
Molecule: ribosomal RNA, 480 nt
Filed under: uncultured bacterium
Lineage: Bacteria
Description: partial 16S ribosomal RNA
Rfam family: Bacterial small subunit ribosomal RNA
Source: RNAcentral